RNAcentral lists this long non-coding RNA (294 nucleotides) under Salvia miltiorrhiza (redroot sage). RNAcentral describes it as "long non-coding RNA (SMIL_LNC009083)". The record is from RNAcentral. Lineage: Eukaryota; Viridiplantae; Streptophyta; Magnoliopsida; Lamiales; Lamiaceae.
UCAGAAUUGAACGCUUAGUCACGGCGUGAACUUUAGUAGAAAAAUAGAUAUGAGACUUAUCACUGCUACAGAUCUGCCCAGAAAUCCAACUAUAGUAAUCAAGAAUCUUCUUAAUCGUCUUCGCAUUCCGUACAGAGGCCUUACAGAAAACCAAAAUAUCAUCAGCAUAAAGGAGAUGCGUGGGAAAAAGCUGCGAACGAGUCAUAGUCAUGGGAGUAAGAUGACCAGAAGUAACACAGUUGCGAAAAAGAGCGCUCAGAACAUCCUCAGCAAUCCCAAAGAGGAUAGGAGAGA